GAACGCAUCUUGCGCCCCCUGGUAUUCCGGGGGGCAUGCCUGUCCGAGCGUCAUUACAACCCUCAAGCACGGCUUGUGUUAUGGGCCGUCGUCCCCUACUCGCUAGGUGGACGCGUCCGAAAUGCAGUGACGGUAGCCGCGACUCCGGUGCCCGAGUGAAUGGAGGAUAAUACCACCGCUCGUUUGGCCCGGCCGGCUCCGGUCGAAAUCAUUUAUUUCUUAGGUUGACCUCGGAUCAGGUAGGGAUACCCGCUGAACUUAAG
RNAcentral lists this unclassified non-coding RNA (263 nucleotides) under Albidomyces albicans. RNAcentral describes it as "Amauroascus albicans sequence contains 5.8S rRNA gene". The stretch from base 1 to 53 matches the Rfam family "5.8S ribosomal RNA", at positions 102 to 154 of the family's 154-position model. Lineage: Eukaryota; Fungi; Ascomycota; Eurotiomycetes; Onygenales; Neoarthropsidaceae. The record is from RNAcentral.